CGCCUGGGGAGUGCGGCCGCAAGGUUAAAACUCAAAUGAAUUGACGGGGGCCCGCACAAGCGGUGGAGCAUGUGGCUUAAUUCGACGCAACGCGAAGAACCUUACCUGGCCUUGACAUGCAGAGAACUUUCCAGAGAUGGAUUGGUGCCUUCGGGAACUCUGACACAGGUGCUGCAUGGCCGUCGUCAGCUCGUGUCGUGAGAUGUUGGGUUAAGUCCCGUAACGAGCGCAACCCCUAUCCCUAGUUGCUAGCAGUUCGGCUGAGAACUCUAGGGAGACUGCCGGUGACAAACCGGAGGAAGGUGGGGAUGACGUCAGGUCGUCAUGGCCCUUACGGCCAGGGCUACACACGCGCUACAAUGGUGCGCACAGAGGGCUGCAAACCCGCGAGGAGGAGCCAAUCUCACAAAACGCAUCGUAGUCCGGAUCGCAGUCUGCAACUCGACUGCGUGAAGUCGGAAUCGCUAGUAAUCGUGAAUCAGAAUGUCACGGUGAAUACGUUCCCGGGCCUUGUACACACCGCCCGUCACACCAUGGGAGUGGAUUGCACCAGAAGUGGUUAGUCUAACCUUCGGGAGGACGAUCACCACGGUGUGGUUCAUGACUGGGGUGAAGUCGUAACAAGGUAACCGUA
This 634-nucleotide ribosomal RNA is filed under the name uncultured Marinobacter sp. RNAcentral's name for it is "bacterial SSU rRNA". It matches the Rfam family "Bacterial small subunit ribosomal RNA", at positions 870 to 1504 of the family's 1533-position model. Lineage: Bacteria; Pseudomonadati; Pseudomonadota; Gammaproteobacteria; Pseudomonadales; Marinobacteraceae. The record is from RNAcentral.